This 996-nucleotide long non-coding RNA is filed under the name Capra hircus (goat). RNAcentral describes it as "lncRNA (ENSCHIG00000008281.1)". The record is from RNAcentral. Lineage: Eukaryota; Metazoa; Chordata; Mammalia; Artiodactyla; Bovidae.
GGCCACAGAGAAGGGGUCAUGAGAUUGGAGCUGUUGGCCUCAAAGGUUGAGAACAGCUGAGGGGCAGGUAUGAACUAUGACUAUCUCAAUUUUAUUCAUGAUGCAACUAAAGCUUAGAGAGUUAGUUAAAUGAUAAGACAAUGGUAGAGCUGAAACCCAGGGAGUCUGAUUUUAAAGCUCAUUUUCUUAACCUCUAGGUUAUCAUGCUGCAGAGCUAGAAAUUUCCAGCACGCUUUUUUUAACAGACACUUACAAGGCACCAUGGUAGGUGCUGAAAUGAACAAAGACAAGAUUCUCUGUCCUGAAAACCAGUCCAGUAAGGAUACAAACAAGCACGUAGUCAUUACACACAGAGGAAUUUUGUACAUACAAUGAAAGCCUUUCCUUAGUGGUCUGAUCUGCAAGAGAGCAGAAAGCACCUGAUGAGGACGCCUCCAGACCUAGCUUGCUCAGCUCGGCGUUGUGGAUUGUCCCAGCAGUUGGGAGAUUCAAGGAGUGGGGAGCUUCCACCUAAAACAGACAGGCACAAAAGCCCAGGGAUCCAGCAGAGCCUCAGAGCCACAGAGAAGCCAGCAUGUAACCAGACGCCCGGCCAGCAGAGCCCAAAGAGGAGCAAGUUAAAAGGACUGAAAGAAGACGUCAAGGCCAAAGAAAACAAUCAGGGCUCCUAAACGCUGUAGGCACCACCUUCUCAGACUGUGAAACAGCUUCAGUGCAAACAGAGGUUUCCAGACUCUCCAACCAAAUACCAUCGUUAAUGGUGAAGAACUCCUGACAAUAAACAUUCCAGGGAUGUCUCAGACACAAAGCAGCUAUCAACUGAUUUGGAAUGAACGCCCGCUGUUAUCUGAAAUGAUCUUUUAAAACAUUUUAUGUUGGUCUAAGUGGGGUGGAGAGCUGGGGCGGUUGCAUGUAUGUGGCUCAUCUCUGUUCUUGAAUGAGUGCUCCUUCACGUCUUCUUUUCCAUAAUGGAUUAUAAUUAGCAGUACAUUAGGG